Small nuclear RNA from Molossus molossus (Pallas's mastiff bat), 103 nucleotides. The record is from RefSeq and is a predicted model, not a curated record. Lineage: Eukaryota; Metazoa; Chordata; Mammalia; Chiroptera; Molossidae.
UUGCUUCGGCAGCAGCACAUAGAGUAAAAUUGGAAUGAUACAGAGAUUAGCUUGGCCCCUGUGCAAGGAUGACAUGCAAAUUUGUGAAGCAUUCUAUUUUUUU